GCUUGGCCAAUUCAGUUUGGUAAGAUGUAUUCUCAGUUUUGUGUUGAUAUUUCUCCACAUCUAUAAUAUUAGAUAUGGAUUCUCUAUUUUGCAAUCUGGAAAUUAGUGUUGUUAUUAAAUUAUUGUCAUAUCACAUUAUUUUAGUAUGCUUCCUUUGACUAUGGAUAAAAUUGUGUGUUCUUAAGGUGGAUAUAGCCUAUAUACCAUU
Molecule: unclassified non-coding RNA, 208 nt
Filed under: Hevea brasiliensis (rubber tree)
Lineage: Eukaryota; Viridiplantae; Streptophyta; Magnoliopsida; Malpighiales; Euphorbiaceae
Source: RNAcentral